This 633-nucleotide ribosomal RNA is filed under the name Priestia aryabhattai. RNAcentral describes it as "bacterial SSU rRNA". It matches the Rfam family "Bacterial small subunit ribosomal RNA", at positions 47 to 662 of the family's 1533-position model. The record is from RNAcentral. Lineage: Bacteria; Bacillati; Bacillota; Bacilli; Caryophanales; Bacillaceae.
GUCUAUAAUGCAAGUCGAGCGAACUGAUUAGAAGCUUGCUUCUAUGACGUUAGCGGCGGACGGGUGAGUAACACGUGGGCAACCUGCCUGUAAGACUGGGAUAACUUCGGGAAACCGAAGCUAAUACCGGAUAGGAUCUUCUCCUUCAUGGGAGAUGAUUGAAAGAUGGUUUCGGCUAUCACUUACAGAUGGGCCCGCGGUGCAUUAGCUAGUUGGUGAGGUAACGGCUCACCAAGGCAACGAUGCAUAGCCGACCUGAGAGGGUGAUCGGCCACACUGGGACUGAGACACGGCCCAGACUCCUACGGGAGGCAGCAGUAGGGAAUCUUCCGCAAUGGACGAAAGUCUGACGGAGCAACGCCGCGUGAGUGAUGAAGGCUUUCGGGUCGUAAAACUCUGUUGUUAGGGAAGAACAAGUACAAGAGUAACUGCUUGUACCUUGACGGUACCUAACCAGAAAGCCACGGCUAACUACGUGCCAGCAGCCGCGGUAAUACGUAGGUGGCAAGCGUUAUCCGGAAUUAUUGGGCGUAAAGCGCGCGCAGGCGGUUUCUUAAGUCUGAUGUGAAAGCCCACGGCUCAACCGUGGAGGGUCAUUGGAAACUGGGGAACUUGAGUGCAGAAGAGAAAAGC